CUCCGAUCUCAGUUAAGUUUGUCUUUGGGAGAAAUGCUGACAAAACUACAUCUGGUGUGACCUUCCCAUUAUAAGGAAAUGGAGGACUCUGGAGAACUUUGGAAUUAUCUCUGAAAGGUAUCUUCCUAUUUCCCUCCAGACCACACUGAACGACAAUUCUAAAUCAGCCAAUAAUGUAUGUUACAGGACGGAAGCCUUUGUUCAGGAGUCACUUCCAAGAGGAGAACAAGGCACUCACAGCACAAUGAAAAGGAGCUACCAAUAAUUAAAGACCUCAAAACUGUUGUAAAAUGGCUGCAUGGGAAUUAACAGCUGUUCAGGGGCAAAGUUGAAGAGCCUUGUUUCCUACAAUUGAAGAAGAAGACAAGGAAAGGGCCAUCCACAAUCUUUUUGAAGAACCAGAACUUUCCAGAGAGACCUUCACAUUUCAUUUUCUUUUCAGGGAUGACAUGGAGAUUUGGAAUUACAUGAUAAGAUGGGCCUUAGAGUAAAUUGUCUUUUUGAUUAGUUUUAAGUUGUCUUUAUGUUGUAUAACAUUUGAGUGUUUCUGUUAAAAUGUUGCUGUUGUUUACAAGUUGUUUAAAUUAUUAUUUUAAUUCCAUUUUAUCAACAUUAACAUUUCUUAUUAGUUUUAUAAUUGUUCAAUAUACAUUUUUGCUAGGCUUUGAAUGUUUAUUGAUAUGA
This is a long non-coding RNA of Myxocyprinus asiaticus (Chinese sucker), 684 nucleotides long. RefSeq lists it as uncharacterized. Lineage: Eukaryota; Metazoa; Chordata; Actinopteri; Cypriniformes; Catostomidae. The record is from RefSeq and is a predicted model, not a curated record. The transcript is spliced from 3 exons.